GUAUGAGGGAACUUCUGGAACCAACAGGACAGAAUAUCCAGCAACAAUAGAGAUAAAGCAACAAAAAGUCCUCUCAGUCCUAUUCCCUAAAUAACUUUCCCUUAGAGGGAUAUUAUUCCCAAAU
Long non-coding RNA from Herpailurus yagouaroundi (jaguarundi), 124 nucleotides. RefSeq lists it as uncharacterized. The record is from RefSeq and is a predicted model, not a curated record. Lineage: Eukaryota; Metazoa; Chordata; Mammalia; Carnivora; Felidae. The transcript is spliced from 3 exons.